This 302-nucleotide ribosomal RNA is filed under the name uncultured bacterium. Its description in RNAcentral is "partial 16S ribosomal RNA". It matches the Rfam family "Bacterial small subunit ribosomal RNA", at positions 508 to 809 of the family's 1533-position model. The record is from RNAcentral.
GCAGUAGCCGCGGGAAUACGUAGGUGGCAAGCGUUGUCCGGAAUUAUUGGGCGUAAAGGGCUCGCAGGCGGUUUCUUAAGUCUGAUGUGAAAGCCCCCGGCUCAACCGGGGAGGGUCAUUGGAAACUGGGAAACUUGAGUGCAGAAGAGGAGAGUGGAAUUCCACGUGUAGCGGUGAAAUGCGUAGAGAUGUGGAGGAACACCAGUGGCGAAGGCGACUCUCUGGUCUGUAACUGACGCUGAGGAGCGAAAGCGUGGGGAGCGAACAGGAUUAGAUACCCCUGUAGUCCCUGUCUCUUAUAA